RNAcentral lists this ribosomal RNA (440 nucleotides) under uncultured bacterium. Its description in RNAcentral is "partial 16S ribosomal RNA". It matches the Rfam family "Bacterial small subunit ribosomal RNA", at positions 338 to 795 of the family's 1533-position model. The record is from RNAcentral.
CCUACGGGAGGCAGCAGUGGGGAAUAUUGCACAAUGGGGGAAACCCUGAUGCAGCGACGCCGCGUGAGUGAAGAAGUAAUUCGUUAUGUACAGCUCUAUCAGCAGGGAAGAAAAUGACGGUACCUGAGUAAGAAGCCCCGGCUACCUACGUGCCAGCAGCCGCGGUAAUACGUAGGGGGCAAGCGUGCUCCGGAUUUACUGGGUGUAACGGGAGCGUAGACGGCAGUACAAGUCUGGAGUGAAAGGCGGGGGCUCAACCCCCGGACUGCUCUGGAAACUGUACGGCUGGAGUGCAGGAGAGGUAAGUGGAAUUCCUAGUGUAGCGGUGAAAUGCGUAGAUAUUAGGAGGAACACCAGUGGCGAAGGCGGCUUACUGGACUGUAACUGACGUUGAGGCUCGAAAGCGUGGGGAGCAAACAGGAGUAGAUACCCGAGUAGUC